Molecule: long non-coding RNA, 894 nt
Organism: Spinacia oleracea (spinach)
Lineage: Eukaryota; Viridiplantae; Streptophyta; Magnoliopsida; Caryophyllales; Amaranthaceae
Exons: 5
Source: RefSeq, a predicted model, not a curated record
ACAUUCACUUUUAUUUAGUUUUUUAGACUAUGAUUUCUCUUCUUUCACAAAAAUUCUGAUUAUUGCUCUCACUGUUCUAUCAUAUUUCAAAAACAUCCAAUACUCCAUAUUUUUCUUCACCAUAAACUGAUAAAAUAGAAAUCUGAAAUUCGUUCUCUUUGGAAAUCAAAUUAGGGGUAAUUUCAAUUCCAUUUUGAUUUGAGGAAGUUGAUUUCUUAUUCAAGCUAUUCGAAGGCAUUUUACGGGAUUAUCUACUACGCAAUUGUCGUAGUUUUUGAUCCAUGGAUUGAUGAAUCAGAUGAGCAGUACAAAUGGCACAUAAUGCAUUUGCUCAAGAAGUAUUUUGCAAAUUACAACGAAUAUUCAAAUUUAUACUUCAUGUCUAUCCCGGAGCAUGCACUGCCAUUAUGGUUUCACUUGACAUUCCUGGCAUUUUGAAGAUAUGAGCUGAAAACUUGCACUCUUGGUAUCUGGGAAAGGAGGUUUAUUUAAGUGUUCUGAAUUAUGUAAAGGACGGUUCAGAGGUUCGUUUGCCAGAUAACACAAUCUGUUGCGGCUUACUAUCAUCAUAACAAAGGUUUGAAAGACUAGAAGUACAAAAGCCCAAUUCUCCAUCUUCUUCUCUUCUUGCCAGCAUGCAGUAUAGAGUGAAAGAACACUAAUUCUUGAAAGGAACUCCCCUCCACCAACUGAAGUCCAUGAAUACUUGUAGUUAAUAAAUUUUAUUUUUGUUUACAUGUCAACUCCACUUUUUUGGAGUAAAUUACAUUUGCCGCAAUUGUAAAAGAUGUAGUAAUUGACAUUUUCAUUUGCAGCAUUUUCUUAAACAAAAAUCGUGAUAAAUGAAUUUGUUUUUUGUUGCAUUUUUUCGAUGCGGCAAAAGAUAUUUGUCAA